RNAcentral lists this non-coding RNA (21 nucleotides) under Caenorhabditis elegans. Lineage: Eukaryota; Metazoa; Nematoda; Chromadorea; Rhabditida; Rhabditidae. The record is from RNAcentral.
UACAACGUAGAGUACUGGCUA